UACGUAGGGUGCGAGCGUUGUCCGGAAUUACUGGGCGUAAAGAGCUCGUAGGUGGUUUGUCGCGUUGUUCGUGAAAACCCGGGGCUCAACCCCGGGCCUGCAUUCGAUACGGGCAGACUAGAGUUCGGUAGGGGAGUCUGGAAUUCCUGGUGUAGCGGUGAAAUGCGCAGAUAUCAGGAGGAACACCGGUGGCGAAGGCGGGACUCUGGGCAGAUACUGACGCUGAGGAGCGAAAGCGUGGGGAGCAAACAGG
RNAcentral lists this ribosomal RNA (253 nucleotides) under uncultured bacterium. Its description in RNAcentral is "partial 16S ribosomal RNA". It matches the Rfam family "Bacterial small subunit ribosomal RNA", at positions 524 to 776 of the family's 1533-position model. The record is from RNAcentral.